GAUGAACGCUGGCGGCGUGCCUAAUACAUGCAAGUCGAGCGAACAGACGAGGAGCUUGCUCCUUUGACGUUAGCGGCGGACGGGUGAGUAACACGUGGGUAACCUACCUAUAAGACUGGGAUAACUUCGGGAAACCGGAGCUAAUACCGGAUAAUAUUUCGAACCGCAUGGUUCGAUAGUGAAAGAUGGCUUUGCUAUCACUUAUAGAUGGACCUGCGCCGUAUUAGCUAGUUGGUAAGGUAACGGCUUACCAAGGCAACGAUACGUAGCCGACCUGAGAGGGUGAUCGGCCACACUGGAACUGAGACACGGUCCAGACUCCUACGGGAGGCAGCAGUAGGGAAUCUUCCGCAAUGGGCGAAAGCCUGACGGAGCAACGCCGCGUGAGUGAUGAAGGUCUUCGGAUCGUAAAACUCUGUUAUUAGGGAAGAACAAACGUGUAAGUAACUGUGCACGUCUUGACGGUACCUAAUCAGAAAGCCACGGCUAACUACGUG
This 497-nucleotide ribosomal RNA is filed under the name uncultured bacterium. RNAcentral describes it as "partial 16S ribosomal RNA". It matches the Rfam family "Bacterial small subunit ribosomal RNA", at positions 28 to 507 of the family's 1533-position model. The record is from RNAcentral.